UGCCCACCUCUGCCUCCCAAAGUGCUGGGAUUACAGGUGUGAGCCACCGCACCCAGUCAGCUCACUUAAUUUUCAUGGAAUACAGUGGGCAUUAUGAUCCCAAUUUUACAAGUGAGAAAACUGAGAAGGAGAGAGGUCCCCAAAGUUGCCUAAAGUCACACAGUAAGUGGUAGAGUCAGGAUUCCAGCUGAAGUCUGCUUCCAAAUCCCACCUUCUAACCGCUGCCACUAGACUGCUGUGUCUGCUGGGGUGUUAGGUCACAGGAGAAAAGAGAUAAUGGCUUUGUGACCCGGGAGCUCCGCCUUCACCUCCUCCUGCCAUCCUCAGCAUGAGCCAGCUGCAUGAGGGGUGCUGUGUGCUGGGCUGGAGGAUGGAGCCAUGUGCCACUCCCUCCGAGGCACGCUGUGAAGGUGCAAGUGGUGUGUUCUGAGAGUGCGGAGGAUGAAAACUUCUCACCCAGCUUUCUACAUUCAAGUUUACAAGUGCUGCUCAGGACCCACUGAUUAUUUCCAGGGGAAGAUCACCAAACCGCCUAAGGCCGAGACUCCCAGGAUAGCGCAGCAUGCCCCGGAGUCCCCCAGCUCGAUUUGCUCAGAACUCAGAAAGAAAACAGCCCACACUCCUUGAACUUCAGGCACUGAUGGAGGCAUUUUCCAAAGAACAGUGACAAGGACGGCCAGCACCUCUCUUGCAUUCCUCAGUCUGACUCAAGCUGCUCUUCCACCCUCCUCCCCAGCUGGAGCUGAGGCUGAAGGCAGUUGAGGGCCACCAGGGAGAAGAGCUGGGUCAGGGCCGUGACUUGCCAGCAAGCAUGAGGCCAAGCAGAUGUGCCGGAACAGCUGUGGUGACAGAGCUGUGGCCAACUGCUCCCUGGGCCGAGGGUGAAGGAAGCUGUGCUCCCACUGGUGCUAGGGAAGGCUGCUGCAGGGCUGGAGGCCUGGGUGCUGGACUGCUGGGGCAGGCUGCCUGCUGUACCCCCAAGCUGCAGUCAGGGCUCGCCCUGAGGCCCUGAGGUGGAGAGAGAGCAGCUGUCUCGUACACACCCAUGUGCACAAGUGCAGGCACACACACACACACACACACACACACAAAAGACGUUCUCACUUCAUCCCCGAAUUCUCCCUCCUACACACAAAGCUAGUUCCCAGUUCUCCAGUCCCCCUCCAUCCCUCUCCACUUCUGUAGUCUCUGCUGGGCUGCACUGGGGAUCUGGUCCCAAUUCCCCUCUCUUCCCUUGCUGCCCCUGUAACAAAGGGCUGGCCAUGUGACAUGAUCUCCUCAGGCUUCAGAGAAGUGAUUUUACCCUGAGCUACACAGGCAGGAAGACCACCAGCCUGGAAGGGCCCUUCAGCCACUUUCCCAACAAACAGCAAAUCUCCGCCGAUUGAACUCUGACUGAGGCAAUGGGGGCAUGCCAGGCAACAAGGUGGAGGUUUGCUACCGUGGGAGCAGGGAGAGCGUGGAACACAGACGCUCUGGGUGUUGAAGAGGAGGCUUCACCCUUAAAUCCACACCAACAGCCCCCUUCACUUCCCCCGGUGAAGAACGAAGGACCCUGUGGGAUUUCUACUUCAAAUCUCUCAUUUAUUCCGACAUCCACUCGGUUAUGACUCCAAGUUAUCAAAGAUGCAAGACAAGAAGUCUAGAGCAGGAGUGGUGAAGUGGAGGCAGGACGUACGAAUGAUGUUAUUUCUGGCAAGGAGGACACGGCUGCUGUGGUUGAUUGGCUGUGGAAUUCCAGGGGAGCAAGGCACUAGGAAGUGGGGAACGCUGCCAGGCCCAGCAGCUCAUCAGGAGCUUGCACUUGGCCCAGUUAGGGCUGGCCGUGGGACGGGCUUGUUGAAGCUGCUGCCGCCAUAAGCUGCCCCUCUGCACCAGGAGACAGAUCCCAUUACCCCACCUACAGCUGCUUCCUGGUACAAGAGAAGAGUUACCAUUUGAAAUGACUCCACAGGAGAGUCUGACAAACAUGUUUGCUUUUCACUGACAAUUAAAAUUGUUUUGCUGCUAAUCUUGUUUUAUUGUGGUCUUUCAUCCAUCAGCAAGCAUCCCUGCACGCAAGAUCAGAGUUGGGUAAAUACAUCCAGACCCUGCCAGGAUUAGGGCAAGAGGGAGUGCUCUGGGCCGGCAGAUCUUUUUCGGAAAUUCUCACUUCUUGGAGCACUAAAGGGUUGUUAGUCUAUCUGGGCAAGCCUCGUUUCCCUGGAGAAAAUGGAGUCUCAGAGAUUAGUGACUGGUCCUAGAGCUAAUGAGUGACCAAAGUGUGACCAGAGCCCAGGUCUGCUUCUCAACCCAGGGCACUUUGAUUCCAGAUUGAGAUGUAAGGUGACAGGUGCCUUAAUAGUGGCGCAAAAGAUGUGCAUUCCCCUCUUCCUCCCUCCCCGCUCCCUGCUCCCCCAGCGGCACCCUGACCUUCCUCAAAUGCAGAAUCAAGAUUUCAGCAGGGGGGCCAGCCCUUUCCCUGCCCCACCCUCCUCGAAUUCAGUGACUCAGGAGUGGGAAGGGGGUUAGCUAUGCCCUUAGAAGGGGGCCAGCUUCUGCAGAGGCCACUGGAAAACUCAUCAGGAUUCUCACUCACAAAGCCACUGCCACAUUCUAAGUAGGAAGUCGGAGUUGGAAAUGAGGCUGGUGUGAGACACAAUAAAUGGCUCAUCGCCAGGAAACUGGGGAGUAGGGCGGCCAAGGGAGGGCGGCGAGCGUGGAAUCCCAAGGCUAAGUCACGUCCCUCCCAUCCUCAGGACUGGGCUGUUGCUCUGGUGAGAUGAAUGAAGAUCCUGCUCCACGGCGUCACAGGUGGAUGCUUACAUAGAAUGCCGGGCUCUGGGGGACUUGACGUGGUUUCAGCCGCUGCAGCAUCGCCCCACAGAGAUUCUGUGCUCUUCCUGUUCACCAGCCCGCUGUCUGCCAUGGGGAUUGGUCACGUGUUAACCACCUUUCGUUCAAGCUGUUUCGGGAUCAGACUUUUCCUUCUCUGGUACAUGGGAGACCUUUCCUCUCUGCAGCUCCUGAAUGUACAAAGCCCCUGGUGCCUACCCGUGGUUACUGUGUGUGUGUGUGUGUGUGUGUGUGUGUGUGUGUGUCUGUGCGCGCGCGCGCGCGUGCGUACACCUGGGAACGGUUAUGCACACCCUCACAGGACUGCAUCCACACAAGCUACUCGGCGUGGUGGGCUGGGCCGAGAGACAGUCAGCUGGUCUCUUUGCUAAGCUACCAGAAGUCGGCUAACAAAAUGAAAAAACUUCUCCAGCAGGGGGCGCUGGUUCCUAAGUCAGAGAAAGGAUUUCGGGGAACACAAGGUUAGACACUUUCUGGUGCAGUCCCCACAAGCCACCUUAGGCUUUAAAGUCAACUUGACACGUCCCACGAGGAAGGGGGCAGGUGAGAUGUGAUACGUUCAGGAAUCAACGACCCUACGGGAGCAGCUACAGUGACAGCAGUAGCUAUGGUAACCAACGUACAAAGCUGGGCUGUGAACUAGCUGUUGGAGUCGUUUCAGCAAGCGCGUCCUGAAGCAGUGCCGUUGACGCCCCGCCCCUCGCUUCUCCAAUGCUGGAAUUGUAGCUCUCACUUCUCUCCUUGCCCUCUGUCCCCUUUUCCUAGGCACGGAUGCUUCAUCUCCCGAGGACCCGGGAGGCCUCCUGAGCCUUUGCUGAGCUUUCCCUGGUGCUCCUUUUUGCAGUCCAGCGAAUCCAGGGGACUGGGGCACACUGCAAGGGGUUGUGGUGGUGCUGGGGCUGCCAGAGGAGUGUCCCAACCAAGAAACUGGCGAAGCUGCAGACUCGACCUAGCAGUCCCCCACCUCUGGCCCACAGAGUUGGAGCCAGGCCCUGUCUUGGUUCUCAAUGCACUCAAAAGCUUAAAUCCUAGUAAACCCUCCACUGCGGAGCGAGAAAA
RNAcentral lists this long non-coding RNA (3894 nucleotides) under Homo sapiens (human). RNAcentral's name for it is "HSALNT0296803". The record is from RNAcentral. Lineage: Eukaryota; Metazoa; Chordata; Mammalia; Primates; Hominidae.